RNAcentral lists this long non-coding RNA (458 nucleotides) under Musa acuminata (dwarf banana). RNAcentral describes it as "long non-coding RNA (MACU_LNC001006)". The record is from RNAcentral. Lineage: Eukaryota; Viridiplantae; Streptophyta; Magnoliopsida; Zingiberales; Musaceae.
GGCAUGAAGAAGUUUGAGACCCUGUCCUACCUUCCGACACUGAAGGACGAGGAGUUGCUGAAGCAGAUCGAGUACCUUCUCCGCUCCAAAUGGAUUCCCUGCUUGGAGUUCUGCCCCGUAAGUAACUUCACCUGCCCCAUGGUGGGCAUCCGGUAACCUUGAUAUCCAGCAUGCAUACCGGGGAUUGAAGUCGAUCGUAAUGACCAUAACAGAAAGGGUUCGUGUGGCGCGAGAACCACCGGUCGCCGGGGUACUACGACGGGCGGUACUGGACCAUGUGGAAGCUGCCCAUGUUCGGGUGCACCGACGCUGUGCAGGUGGCGAAGGAGGUGGAGGAGUGCAAGAAGGAGUACCCCCACGCCUUCAUCCGCAUCAUCGGCUUCGACAACAACCGCCAGGUGCAGUGCAUCAGUUUCAUCGCCUACAAGCCGACCGGCUACUAGACGAUUCGGAUCCGG